This is a long non-coding RNA of Trachemys scripta elegans, 269 nucleotides long. RefSeq lists it as uncharacterized. NCBI's taxonomy places the organism in Eukaryota, Metazoa, Chordata, Testudines, Emydidae. The transcript has 3 exons. The record is from RefSeq and is a predicted model, not a curated record.
CUCUCUCAGUCGUUCGCUCUCACACCCUCACUCACUUUCACUGGGCUGGAGCUGGGGGUUGGAGUGCAGGGAGGGGCUCUGAGCAAGGCCUGCCCAGAGAACAUGGAUGACGAGCUCUCGAUCCUGCUGACAGCACCCCCCAGCACAGACAAACUCCAGCACAUCUUGGAGGUGCUGAAGACACAAUGGAAGAGGAAAUCCUUUGGCCUGGAUUGAAAUUAUUCCGACUGAAAGUGAAUGAGAGAAAAUAGGUCCAGAGUUCUCUUCCU